Molecule: ribosomal RNA, 481 nt
Filed under: uncultured bacterium
Lineage: Bacteria
Description: bacterial SSU rRNA
Rfam family: Bacterial small subunit ribosomal RNA
Source: RNAcentral
CUACGUGCCAGCAGCCGCGGUAAUACGGAAGGUUCGGGCGUUAUCCGGAUUUAUUGGGUUUAAAGGGAGCGUAGGCCGGAGAUUAAGUGUGUUGUGAAAUGUAGACGCUCAACGUCUGACUUGCAGCGCAUACUGGUUUCCUUGAGUACGCACAACGUUGGCGGAAUUCGUCGUGUAGCGGUGAAAUGCUUAGAUAUGACGAAGAACUCCGAUUGCGAAGGCAGCUGACGGGAGCGCAACUGACGCUGAAGCUCGAAGGUGCGGGUAUCGAACAGGAUUAGAUACCCUGGUAGUCCGCACGGUAAACGAUGGAUGCCCGCUGUUGGUACCUAGUAUCAGCGGCUAAGCGAAAGCAUUAAGCAUCCCACCUGGGGAGUACGCCGGCAACGGUGAAACUCAAAGGAAUUGACGGGGGCCCGCACAAGCGGAGGAACAUGUGGUUUAAUUCGAUGAUACGCGAGGAACCUUACCCGGGCUUGAA